RNAcentral lists this ribosomal RNA (253 nucleotides) under uncultured bacterium. Its description in RNAcentral is "partial 16S ribosomal RNA". It matches the Rfam family "Bacterial small subunit ribosomal RNA", at positions 524 to 776 of the family's 1533-position model. The record is from RNAcentral.
UACGGAGGAUCCAAGCGUUAUCCGGAUUUAUUGGGUUUAAAGGGUGCGUAGGCGGGUGAUUAAGUCAGUGGUGAAAGCCUGCAGCUUAACUGCAGAACUGCCAUUGAUACUGAUAAUCUUGAGUACAGUUGAGGUGGGCGGAAUGUGUCAUGUAGCGGUGAAAUGCUUAGAUAUGACACAGAACACCGAUUGCGAAGGCAGCUCGCUAAACUGUAACUGACGCUGAGGCACGAAAGCGUGGGGAGCAAACAGG